This 408-nucleotide ribosomal RNA is filed under the name uncultured bacterium. Its description in RNAcentral is "partial 16S ribosomal RNA". It matches the Rfam family "Bacterial small subunit ribosomal RNA", at positions 360 to 775 of the family's 1533-position model. The record is from RNAcentral.
AAUAUUGCGCAAUGGAGGAAACUCUGACGCAGCGACGCCGCGUGAGCGAUGAAGGUCUUCGGAUCGUAAAGCUCUGUCCUUGGGGAAGAAGAUCGAAAGAUUUGACGGUCCCCGAGGAGGAACCCCCGGCUAACUACGUGCCCGCAGUCGCGGUAAUACGCACGGGGCAAGCGUUGUCCGGAAUUAUUGAGCGUAAAGGGUGCGUAGGCGGCUUUUUAAGUCAGAUGUGAAAGACCACGGCUUAACCGUGGGGUUGCAUUUGAAACUGGAAGGCUUGAGUAUCGUAGAGGGUAGUGGAAUUCCCAGUGUAGCGGUGAAAUGCGUAGAUAUUGGGAGGAACACCAGUGGCGAAGGCGACUACCUGGACGAAAACUGACGCUGAGGCGCGAAAGCGUGGGGAGCAAACAG